CGGUUGAUCCUGCCGGACCCUACUGCUAUCGGGGUGGGACUAAACAUGCGAGUCGAGCGUCUCUAGCUAUUUGAGACGCGGCAUACGCUCAGUACACGUGGCUAACCUACCCUCAGGACGGGGACAACCCCGGGAAACUGGGGCUAAUAUCCGAUAGGCGAGGAAUCCUGGAAUGGUUCUUCACCCAAAGGACAUUGGAAACAUGCUUUCUCUGUCGCCUGGGGAUGGGGCCGCGACCGAUCAGGUUGUUGGUGAGGUAAUGGCUCACCAAGCCUUUAACCGGUACGGGCCAUGAGGGUGGUAGCCCGGAGAUGGGUACUGAGACAAGGACCCAGGCCCUACGGGGCGCAGCAGUCGCGAAAACUCCGCAAUGCACGAAAGUGUGACGGGGCUACCCCGAGUGCCGUCCGCUGAGGAUGGCUUUUCCUUGGUGUAACUAGCCGGGGGAAUAAGGAGAGGGCAAGACUGGUGUCAGCCGCCGCGGUAAUACCAGCUCUCCGAGUGGUAGGGAUGAUUAUUGGGCUUAAAGCGUCCGUAGCCGGCUUAGCAAGUUUCCUGUUAAAUUCAGCGACCUAAUCGUUGAGCCGCGGGAAAUACUACUAGGCUAGGAGGCGGGAGAGGUCGACGGUACUUCUGGGGUAGGGGUGAAAUCCUAUAAUCCCGGGAGGACCACCAGUGGCGAAGGCUGUCGACUAGAACGCGCUCGACGGUGAGGGACGAAAGCUGGGGGAGCGAACCGGAUUAGAUACCCGGGUAGUCCCAGCUGUAAACGAUGCGGGCUAGGUGUUGGGGUGGCUACGUGCCACUUCAGUGCCGCAGGGAAGCCAUUAAGCCCGCCGCCUGAGGAGUACGGCCGCAAGGCUGAAACUUAAAGGAAUUGGCGGGGGAGCAC
This 892-nucleotide ribosomal RNA is filed under the name uncultured sediment archaeon. Its description in RNAcentral is "bacterial SSU rRNA". It matches the Rfam family "Archaeal small subunit ribosomal RNA", at positions 5 to 879 of the family's 1478-position model. The record is from RNAcentral.